GAAUCUUCCGCAAUGGACGAAAGUCUGACGGAGCAACGCCGCGUGAGUGAUGAAGGUUUUCGGAUCGUAAAACUCUGUUGUUAGGGAAGAAAAAGUAUCGGAGUAACUGCUGGUACCUUGACGGUCCCUAACAAGAAAGACACGGCUAACUACGUGCCAGCAGCCGCGGUAAUACGUAGGUGGCAAGAGGUGUCCGGAAUUAUUUGGCGUAAAGCGCGCGCAGGCGGUCUUUUAAGGCUGAUGUGAAAGCCCCCGGCUCCACCGGGGAGGGGCAUUGGAAACUGGGAGACUUGAGUGCAUAAGAGAAGAGUGGAAUUCCACGUGUAGCGGUGAAAUGCGUAGAGAUGUGGAGGAACACCAGUGGCGAAGGCGACUCUUUGGUCUGUAACUGACGCUGAGGCGCGAAAGCGUGGGGAGCAAACA
Molecule: ribosomal RNA, 423 nt
Filed under: uncultured bacterium
Lineage: Bacteria
Description: partial 16S ribosomal RNA
Rfam family: Bacterial small subunit ribosomal RNA
Source: RNAcentral